CAGUCGCCACGGUAAUACGAAGGGUGCAAGCGUUAAUCGGAAUUACUGGGCGUAAAGCGUGCGUAGGCGGUGAGUUAAGUCUGCUGUGAAAUCCCCGGGCUCAACCUGGGAAUGGCAGUGGAUACUGGCUCGCUAGAGUGUGUCAGAGGAUGGUGGAAUUCCCGGUGUGGCGGUGAAAUGCGUAGGGAUCGGGAGGAACAUCAGUGGCGAAGGCGGCCAUCUGGGACAACACUGACGCUGAGGCACGAAAGCGUGGGGAGCAAACAGGAUUAGAUACCCGGGUAGUCCCUGUCUCUUAUAC
RNAcentral lists this ribosomal RNA (301 nucleotides) under uncultured bacterium. RNAcentral's name for it is "partial 16S ribosomal RNA". It matches the Rfam family "Bacterial small subunit ribosomal RNA", at positions 509 to 807 of the family's 1533-position model. The record is from RNAcentral.